UUCCGGUUUUGCCCAUUCAACCCCUCAGCGAACAUCUCGCAAUUUCAGGAGAUCCGUCCGUCGGAUUUCUGAUCGGAUCGUGCCAGCGCGUUCAGCACGACUGGGGUAUCGAAUCUAAUAUUUCGUUUCAUUCGAUUUGAUCUCCGAUUCACGACGAAACCGACCCUCGUUGUUUCCACCAUAACACCACAUAUUUAUAUAUGUAAAACCGAUCAAACCCCUUUUUCUCCACAACUGUGCAUUAGAUUUGAAAUCCGUCAGUGCCAUUAAUUCCAGAAUAGCUGAAUCAUUCGAAACGAGCUAUUGGACUGCUAUGAACGGAGUCCGAUACGCACCAAAAGCCAACUCUACUCCGUGGUUUCUCCGGAAAAACCAAGUUACUAUUCACUUAAGUGAAAAUUAAAGAUCACGUAACUUCUCCGUUCUAGCUUAUUUUCUCCUGAAACUUGACGAGUGCUUAUGUAAUUAAAUUACACAUAUAAACAUCGUCAACCAAGAGUUUAGCUGCACUGCCAAAAUCUCAGUCCUUAUAGGUUAUUACAGGAGGGUUUUCUGUAAUUUAGCCUAAAAGAAAACCUGAACUAUGGAUCAUUCAGAAUCUACUGUUUAACAUUUUAAAAUUCUGAUUUUAUCAUCUAAUUUUUCAAUUUGUUUAAUUUGUGUCGGGUGACAACACUUUAACUUUAAAAUUUAAAGUAAUUUUUUACUUUAAUAAAAAAUUAUAGUUUCUAGAAUUGCAUAAAGUAUACCAACUAAAUUUGUAAAAACAAUUAAACCAUAAAUUAAAAUUUUGAAGUCAAAUUAAGUGUCGUCAGCUGACUCAAAUCAAACAACAUGAAAGAUUAGAUAAUAAAAUCAAAUUUUCAAAAGGUGGGAUAACCGAUUUAAAAUGGUCAAUAAUUUAUAUAAAUUUUUUAUAUUUUUACUUAUUUAUAUAUAGGGUCUGACUGAAAUGCUUCUACUGUAAGAAGAAGUCUACUGUGUCACACUUGCAGCACAUCAGCAAUAACAAAUCAAUCAUAUCUCUUCUUUAAAAACCAUAGUAAAAAUAUUCUUUUAUAAUCAUAAUAUGAUAAAUUAAUUUUAAAAUAUUUAUAUAAUUAAUCAAAAAUAACAUAUCAGAUUAAUAUAAUCGGCGUAUUCUAAAAUAUUUUUCUAGGCAUUUAUUUUCGUUGCAGACACAUGGGCCAGUGUGCAGUACGAUGUACCUUAUCUGCUUUGGCGCGCCGCGGCAACUUGUCCCUCCUGCCACGUGGGACGGUGGGACCCCAUACAAAUCAGGUUAAUUGUAUCAUUGGUCCCCAGCUUUUACCAGAUUUUUAUUUUAAAACCCACCUUUUUAUUUUUGGAAAAAAACUUCAAAUAUUUUCGUACUUUCUUAGUUUAGUACCAUAUAAUUUAAAAUGUGUCAAUUUAGUGCAUUAUAAUUUCUUUUUUUUUUUUAUUAUCAAUUUCACUAUUUUUUUUAGUUAAAUUAGUAAUAAAAUUAAAACUAAAUGAUACUAAAAUAAAUAUUCAAUAAACUUAAAUAGAAUAUCUGAAGUUUUGUGUAUAUAAUUUAACGAAAUAAUAACGAAAAGCUGAUGAAAAGAUAAAAAUUAAACCACGGGACACUAACUUGAUUGAACCUAAAGGUGUCCGUAGACCGGGUCGGAUUUGGGUAGUUGAUAUACUGUACCCGUACCCUAAAAAAAAAUGAUUAAAAAUAUAUAUAUAUACCCUACCCAUUUAACAUCAGGUCGGGUCUGGAUCUGGGUACUUAAGUUACUAAUAUACCCAUUGAGUCUAUUUGAGCGGGUCUGGGUAGUGACUAUCCGUAUACUACCCAUUCAAAAUCGGUUACGGGUCGGAUACGGGUACCCGUAUAUAUAUAUAUAUAUAUAUAUAUAUAUAUAUAUAUAUAUAUAUAUAUAUAUAUAUAUAUAUAUAUAUAUAUAUAUAUANCGGCCAUUAUAUUUACUGAUUAAAAGUCUAAAAUUCAAAAUAAUUUUUUAUAUAAACACAAAAAAAUUAAAAAAUUAUGAUACCAUAUUAUAGAUAAAUAGAAUGUAAGUUGUAGUAAUUACUAAUAUUAUAUAAUAACAUUCAAAAAAAAGGGAAAAAAAAAAAGAUGAAUUAGAAAAUUUACGAAAUAGAAUAUUCAUUAAAAAAAACUAGAUUGUCGACUAUGAUUGGAAAAAGGAUUUGAAAAAAAAACUCACUUGUACCACACCUGUAAAGGAUUAAUAUCGCUAAUGAUGACUACGAUAGAAAUAUUGUUUCAUAAAAAACUCUUAGACUGAAAUGAAAUAAAAAAAAUAAAGAGUUAAAAACAAAAAGUAAAAAAAUUAGAAAAAGAAAGUAGUAAAAGAGCGGCUAAGAUUUCAAUGUUUUUUAGGAUGAAAAUACUUAGAAAUCCCUCGUCUAUAAGUCCAAUCAAAAUUGACCCCUCAACUUUAAAAAUUCAAAAUUUUUUUAUUUACUAUCGGAUAUUUUAUCGGGUCCGGAUUUAAAAACUCUUCCGGACCUCACCCAUUUAAAAGUUGGGUUCGGGUCGGGUCCAAAUCGAGUAUGGGUAUAAAAUAUCCGGACCCAUACCCGAAACUUUAAUGGGUAUUUUUUUUUACUCGUAUACUAUCCAUUUUUUAUCGGGUCCGGUUCGGACCGGGAUAGGGUCCGGGUUGGGUCCGGAUCGGGUAUGAUAUAUCGAAUAUUUUGGACAGCUUUAAUUGAACCACAGGACACUAAAGUGAGAAAAUACGAAAUUACAGAGUUGGUAUUUGAAGUUUCCUUUUAUUUUUGGCACCUAUAUCUCAAUCACGGUCCCUCACUUUUUAUCGCUCAAUUUUGUUUUUAGAAAAAAAAAUUUGGUCCCCAAUCUCUUCUCCUACAUGCUUUUCAGUAAUUUUUUCAGAAACUUGUAUAAGUUAAUAUUGAAGCACCAUCCACUUGGUACUUCUAAGUUUUUAACCCUUGGAUCCACUUCAUAAUUACUAAUAUCGCUUGGAUCAAAUACUAUUCCACCUACCACCACCGACCAUCACCUACCACCAUCAUCUCAACCUCACAUCUCUCCAUCUAAGGGCUAAAAACUCUAAAGCACCACCCACUUGGUACUUUUGGGAGUAUUCUAGCUCCACUAUAUAUAUAUAUAUAUAUAUAUAUAUAUAUAAAGCAGGGCUGCUGUGCUCUCCGUGCUUUUGAGCCGUUUUCGAUGAUGAAAUUUUCGACUCGACGAUCGGCUCCGUUAGACUUGAUCUAGCGUAUUUGAAGCUUCUAGAAAAUAAUUUUUGCGAUUUUUUGAUAUCAUUUACCUAGUGAUCGAAAUGAUUCAAAAUCAAUAAUUUUUAAUGGUUGAUAUCCGCCGUUAACGAUGUAGAAGUAUUCAAAUCAGAUAAAAUUUUGAUACAAAAUUCUUUAUACUAUCUACAAUAAGAUCAAUAUUUCUAAUCGAAAAUUUUAGUACUAUAUCACCACUUUUUAUAGGAUUUUUAUUUUCAGCCGUUAAAAAUUAUUGAUUUUAAAUUCUUUUGAUUACUAGGUAAAUGAUAUCGAAAAAUCGCAAAUAUUAUUAUCUAGAAACUUCAAAUACGCUAGAUCAAGUUUAAUGGAGCCGAUCGUUGAUUCGGAAACUCCAUUAUCGAAAACGGCUCAGGAGCACGGAGGCCUCCGUGCUCCUGAAAGCACAGCAGUCCUGCUCUCUCUCUCUCUCUCUCUCUCUCUAAUAUAAUAUUUAUAUAUAUAUAUAAUACUAUAGUAUAUAUAGUUGAGCUAGAAUACUCUCAAAAGCACCAAAGGGUUUUUAGCUAUUAGAUAGAGAGAUGCAGGAUUGAAAUGAUGGUGGUAUGUAGUGAUAGGUGGAAUAGUAUUUGAUCCAAAGGUUAUUAGUAAUCAAGGAGUAGAUUAAAGGGCUAAAAACUCAAAAGCACCAAAAGGUUGGUACUUCUGAGAGUAUUCUAGCUCAAUUAUUUAUAUAUAUAUAUAUAUAUAUAUAUAUAUAUGAACUAUAAAUUAUUUUGCAUUGACUACAAAAUUUUCAAUCUUUUAUUUUGUUUCAUUUUAGCCUAUUAAUAAUACUUUAAUCCUCAAUUUAUAAUUACAAAAAUUAUAUAAAUUAUACUAAUUAAAUCUAUAAAAAUAAAUAUCAUAUUUAAAUUUUAAAGCCAAAAAGCUCAAGUGUUAUUGACCUAUUCAAAUCAAAAUAAAAAAAAAUAAAAUAAAAUCAAAAUUAAAAAAAAAUCAGAUAAUAAACUCAAUAUGGUCCAUAGAAAAGUUUUGUACAAUUUUAUCAAAAUUGUAUCACUUUAUAUGGACAGGACAAUGUGAGAGAAAAAAAUAUUUUUUAUUUAAAAAAUAUUUAGGAAAUAUUUAAGACACAUAAAAAUCUAUUUUUUUUUAGAAAUCUACUAUACCAUACUUGCACCUAAACAUUAAUAAUAAAUCAAUUAUAUCACUCUAUUUGCAAAAAAAUAUAUAAUAAAAAUAAUUUUUUGUCACGCCCCGGGGUCCCUUUCGGUUUAAGAGAUAGCGGAAAAGCGUCUGAAAUUUUUUUUUUUGAAAACCUGACCCCAGAGUAUGUCAGAUCCGCCACAAAUAUAGGAGAUCCACUAUUCACACGGACAGAAUCUCCCCUGUAUUUGCACGGCGUCGCACAAGUACAAGAAUACAACCAGGAUACAACCACAACUAGAUGAAUAUAAAGAUCGCUAUACAUUCAUACAUUCACCAUUCACAUCACAGUUUUACAUUCAAUGUUUAAACAGAAAUCCAUAAAAAAAAUCCUUUUGAAAACUGUUUUCUAUACGGAAACCUUUAUUCUUUAAAAACGCUACCACGAGGGGUAGAAAACCUUUUAUUACAUUCAUGAAAAUCCACAUAUUCAAAUGUAAUAAAAAUACUGAACCAUAUAAACUAUCUAAGCUAUAUAUC
This 4908-nucleotide long non-coding RNA is filed under the name Ananas comosus (pineapple). RNAcentral describes it as "long non-coding RNA (ACOM_LNC034404)". The record is from RNAcentral. Lineage: Eukaryota; Viridiplantae; Streptophyta; Magnoliopsida; Poales; Bromeliaceae.